UUUCCGUAGGUGAACCUGCGGAAGGAUCAUUCAUAAUAAGUGUUUUAUGGCACUUUUUUAAAUCCAUAUCCACCUUGUGUGCAAUGUCAGGGUUGAUUUUUCUCUCGAGAGGAUCAACCCCAAACAUCAACUAUAUCUCAACACUUUGUCUGAAAAAAUAUUAUGAAUAAAACAAUUCAAAAUACAACUUUCAACAACGGAUCUCUUGGCUCUC
RNAcentral lists this unclassified non-coding RNA (214 nucleotides) under plant metagenome. RNAcentral describes it as "partial contains small subunit ribosomal RNA, internal transcribed spacer 1, and 5.8S ribosomal RNA". The record is from RNAcentral.